GGGGUUAUGGUCUUCGGAUUGUAACCGAGUGGCGGACGGUUGAGUAACACGUAAGUAACCUACCUGCAAGCGGGGAAUAACCUGUCGAAAGGCAGGCUAAUACCGCAUAUGAUAAUCGAGUGUUGCUUGAUUAUUAAAGCCUUAGGGUGCUUGGAGAUGGGCUUGCGUCUGAUUAGCUAGUUGGUGAGGUAAUGGCUCACCAAGGCGAUGAUCAGUAGCUGGUCUGAGAGGAUGGUCAGCCAGAUGGGGAUUGAGAUACGGCCCCAACUCCUACGGGAGGCAGCAGCAGGGGAUAUUGGGCAAUGGGCGAAAGCCUGACCCAGCGACACCGCGUGAGGGAGGAAGGCCUUCGGGUUGUAAACCUCUUUUCUCGAGGAAGAAUUUUGACGGUACUCGAGGAAUAAGCCUCGGCUAACUACGUGCCAGCAGCCGCGGUAAGACGUAGGAGGCGAACGUUAUCCGGAUUUACUGGGCGUAAAGAGAGCGUAGGCGGCUUUUUAAGUCAAGUGUGAAAUCUUGUGACUCAAUCAGAAGAAGCCGCUUGAUACUGGAUGGCUUGAGGGAAGCAGAAGGAAAUGGAAUUCCCAGUGUAGCGGUGAAAUGCGUUGAUAUUGGGAAGAACACCAGUGGCGAAGGCGAUUUCCUAGGCUUUUCCUGACGCUGAGGCUCGAAAGCGUGGGGAGCGAAGCGGAUUAGAUACCCGCGUAGUCCACGCCUUAAACGGUGGACAUUAGGUAUGGGGAGUAUCG
This 749-nucleotide ribosomal RNA is filed under the name uncultured bacterium. RNAcentral describes it as "bacterial SSU rRNA". It matches the Rfam family "Bacterial small subunit ribosomal RNA", at positions 68 to 834 of the family's 1533-position model. The record is from RNAcentral.